Molecule: long non-coding RNA, 1578 nt
Filed under: Capsicum annuum
Lineage: Eukaryota; Viridiplantae; Streptophyta; Magnoliopsida; Solanales; Solanaceae
Description: long non-coding RNA (CANN_LNC004323)
Source: RNAcentral
AAAAUAAUCCUCUCCUAUCAAUCAGUAAUGUCCGUGCCAAUUUUACUCCUCCACCCCUAACGUCCCUCUUAUCCUCUCCUGUCAUAAAUAUCCUACACCAUAGCCACCAAAGAGGGAGGGAUACAUUCACUAUCAAUACAUAGAUACACAAGAAAUAAGUCGAUGAUCAUUUUAUUUCUCCAUAAAACAAGAAUAAACAAAACAACCAUCAUUGUGGACAGUAGCCCCAUGGGAACCAUCUUCAAAGCUCACCUAUAUUCCAAGUAAUUACCAUUUUGACAAGGUCUCUAACUCAAUGUUUCGGUCAAGGCAUUUUAAGUUUAUAAUUUUGGAGGUGUUGAUGUCGAGUUCCUUGACAUAAAGGUACAAUUCCUACCUUAUUAUUGAUUAAUACACAAAGCUUGGCGUUCUACCUCAUACAGUUAUUUAAAAUUUUAAAGGAGAAUUUAUUCCUAAAUGGCUAUGUUAAUUUUCUCUAGUAUGUAUGUUUUGGAUGCCAUUUUUGCUUCGGGAUAGUAUGACUUUCUUAUUUGAAACUGAAAUGGGGAAUUUAUUUUUGUAUACUCACUUGGUGUCGAUUAUGAGCAUUAAUAUUUAAUAUAGUUUAAAUGGCCAACAUGUCUAUAUUUGAUCCUAUCAUUAUCAAAGGGUUUAAUACAGUUUUUAGUACGCUUUGUCAGUUUGAUCUAAUUCUGUUUAUAGAUUAAUUAAUUCUUACCACUUUUGUUUCAUAUGGUCAAUUAAGGAGUUUGUCCUUACAGUAUGCAUAUUUUUGUCUCUUAUAUAAAAAGUUGAGUAGUUUUCUUCAUCUAUCAGUGUAAUCAUGUAUGUCUCUCUAUCAUUUGCUCUCCAUGUUUGCUUAUUUUCUAUAAAUUUGCCCGCAAUGUGUAUGUUUAGGGAUUAUCAGUUAAUGCUUGAACCACGACGAGUGGAGGAGUCAACGUGCGAAGGAGCUCAAAUGGAGUCGUCACCCCACCCCAUCAGGGAUCCGGUACAUUUUGGGAUAUGAUGACAAAGAUAUGCUAUAUCUGACUUCUUGUAUGAAGCGUAUAUGUAGCUUUAUUAAAAAUAAAGCACCUCGUUACUACCUUCUUUUCUUAUUUCAUAUGUCACUAUUUUAAACGUCUCAAAGACAUGACAACCUUUACUACUAUAUUACAACAACAUGCUUUGAUACAAUUUUUAUAUUAUAUCCACGUAUUAUUUACUUCACAUGACUUUUAAAUGCAAAAAUAAAUAAAUUAUUUAGUACUCUUAAAUAAGUCCCUUCAAGAAUUUCUUGGUUGACAUAAAUAUUGGAAUAGAGUGAGUAACAUCGCAUUGGGCCCGUUUCAACCUUAUCAUAGCUGAUCCACUCACAUUCUUUCUUAUCAUUUUACUUUAUGUAUGUACUAUUGAAUUACUUAUUUACUUUUGUUAAUUCAUCACCAAAUUGAGGUGACACAUAUAUUACUGACAAGUUUUACAUCAUUUAUAGUUUCUCCUUACUUUGACGUAAAUUCAAUUUACAGUUUAUCAUCUUCCAAAUUUGCCCUCAUGCUAAAAGCAAAGGAGCUCGCUAGAGUCCGUAAUCCGGGG